Long non-coding RNA from Bombyx mori (domestic silkworm), 1503 nucleotides. RefSeq lists it as uncharacterized. The record is from RefSeq and is a predicted model, not a curated record. The transcript has 2 exons. Lineage: Eukaryota; Metazoa; Arthropoda; Insecta; Lepidoptera; Bombycidae.
GCGAUUAUUUAUUAUGACCUAGUAACUAAGACCAAGGGUCAAGUCUUGUUUUAAUUUUAAUGAAAACCAUUUUAUAUGAAAAACUAGCUGACCCGGCAAACGUUGUUUUGCCAUGUAUAUUAUUUCUAGGAAACAUUUUUUUAGUACAAUAAAAAUAACCACGGAAUAGAUAAAUAACUCUCUACUAUAAGUGUGCGGGGAUAUAUUUAUAAUUGAAAGCAUUAUCUAUGUAUUAAUACGUGAAGCAAAAACUUUGUAUCCCUUAUUACGAAAAUUGUGCGGACGGAGGCUUAUGAAAUUUCUCACACUAUUACGGUAUAGAGAAUAUAGUGAAGGAGUGCAUAAUGCUAUUUUUUUUUUAAUUAUGCAUUAAUUAUACCUUAAAUCAAUAAAAAAACAUUACACACGCUACCAUGUAUUUGACACAAACAGAGUAACAUCAGAUUUUUUAUUAUAAAGCAUGACAAAUAAAAAUAAAAAUGAAAAUCUUGCCGAAAAAAUUAAAGUUUAUAAUUAACAAAUACAAAAAAAGGGGUUGAUCGUAGAGGGGUGAAAAAUUCACAGUAAUAUGAUUUUUUUUAUUCUAAGUCAUGACAUAAUAAAAACAAAAUUCUUGCAAAAAAAAAAGUAUUAAAUUAAUUAUUAAAUAAAUAUUAUUUAAAAAAUUCAAUUUAGGGGUGGACCACCCUUAACAUUUAGGGGGAUGAAAAAUAGAUGUUGUUCGAUUCUUCACCUUGGCCGAUAUGCACGCUAAGAUUCACGAAAAUCGGUCGAGCCGUUUCGGAGGAGUUCAAUCACGCACACCGUGACAUGAGAAUUUUAUAUAUUAAAAUUAUUAGAUGAUACUGGGAACACCACGUGAUGUUGACUUUUUGCUGUGUUUUCUUCGAUCAACAAUAGUAACUAGAUUUCGGGUCGGUGCAUAAAAUCCGUCUCGUCAAAUAACAGCGCACUUGAAAUGUGAGCUCUUAUUUUGUUUAGUUCACUUCAAACACAGCCAAUGUCAACCCGUCUCACAAUACCGCAGUGUGUAUUCAAAAGUUGCAAAAAUAAGGCCCGAAAAAGCAAUUUAACGACCGGAGUAUCUUACUUUCGCUUUCCUAGCAAUCACGUGUGCAGAAUGGAUCUCGAUUGUCGCCAGAGAAACAAGAGAUGACUUUUAUAAGCCAUCUAAGAACUCCGCUUAUUGACACUGGACAUCUUUGCCUUCCGUGCUCACAGCUACUGAAAUGUGGCCGAAACAUUGUAAUAAAAAUACCACGCUUGAAACCGUUUAAACGUUGUUUUAUUAUGUGCACUGGUCGCGAAAACUUAAAAAUAUAUAUUACACAAAAACGUAACGCUAAUAAAAUAAUAAGUAAUGUAUAGAUACUAACAAACAUACAUUUCCAAAACAUAAAAAGUAAACAACUAAACUUUUACUUUAAUUCAUUAAUAAAUUAUUUUAGUGUUAAGCGCGACUCCCUUACCUCCUGUAGUAAAUAGAAAUCGGCAUUUCAAGAA